Molecule: non-coding RNA, 95 nt
Organism: Pongo abelii (Sumatran orangutan)
Lineage: Eukaryota; Metazoa; Chordata; Mammalia; Primates; Hominidae
Source: Rfam
CCUUUAUAAUGGUUAUGGCUGUCACUCGCCUGCAGUUUGUUCAAGUAUUUUUCUGAGCCUGGUGUAAUUACAGUGAUAUUCUGUGGCCUGGGGAA